Molecule: small nucleolar RNA, 131 nt
Organism: Rattus norvegicus (Norway rat)
Lineage: Eukaryota; Metazoa; Chordata; Mammalia; Rodentia; Muridae
Product: small nucleolar RNA SNORA67
Source: Ensembl
GGUCAAGGUGAGUUCCUCUUCAAGGGGCUAACUACUGCCCUUCUCAGGAACACGGCAACUUGGAAGAAAAGCUGCAUGCCUCAGGUCUUUGUGGAGCAAGCGAUGCUUAUUUCCUUUGGCUGCCUACAGGU